RNAcentral lists this long non-coding RNA (1051 nucleotides) under Panax ginseng (ginseng). RNAcentral describes it as "long non-coding RNA (PGIN_LNC002925)". The record is from RNAcentral. Lineage: Eukaryota; Viridiplantae; Streptophyta; Magnoliopsida; Apiales; Araliaceae.
AUUCCAACAGAAUAAUAAAGAUGGAAUAAUAGAAGUUCUCUUCAUGAAUACAAAAGAAAUAAUACCUCUUACCGUAAAGACACUGGAUAUCGAAGUAGUGAAGUAGUAGAAUACUCUUCUUCUUUUUAUCUAUAAUUUCUCUCUCUAGAGUUUCAGUGAAUUCGUAAGAAAUAAUGAAGGAAUGAGCUUCUAUUUAGAGAAGAAUGGAUUGAAUAGUAACUAAUUCCUGAACGGUCCAGAUUGAUUUACUUUUAAACGGACGGUUCAGAUUGAUUUACUAUUAAAACUUAAAGCAACGGUCCAUACUAAUUUACUAUUAAAACUUUAAACCAGCGAUCCAUAUUGAUUCACUAUUAUAACUUUCCACCAGCGGUCCAUAUUGAUUCACUAAUAUAAGUUCAACCAACAGUCUGAAAAAUUAGCACAUCUCCUCAUGGAAUAAUAUUGUACCUAAAUACCCGAAUGCACAAUACUAGAGUGAAUAGUAAUCGGGUGAAUAGUAACUCGUGAAUAGUAACUCAUGAAUAGUAACUUGUGAAUAGUAACUCAUGAAUAGUAACUUGUGAAUAGUAACUCGUGAAUAGUACUCCGACACGAAAAAUUUCUCAAAUACCCGAUUGAACAAUAUAACCUCCAGACAUCAAUUAUCAUCGGAGUAGAUGUCAAUUUCUACUAACACAUAAUCCCAACAUAAUAAAACUAUCAAAUUCAUCUUUAAUCAACACGAACUUAUUCAUCAUUAAUAUUAUAACUCACAAUAUUUAGCAACCAGAUUGUUCCCAGGAAAGAAUGACCAAACCUCUCCUUGACAAAACUUCUAGACAUUGUAAAUAUUGCAAUUUAUUAAUAUGAAUAACUUUGUCGUCUCAAUUAUUGGUUUAAUAAUAUAACAUAUAAUGCAGAUGAUACUGUGACAAUAAUCGAAUCAAUAAUAUGAGAGAUAUGAUGCAGCAAUUACUGUAGCAAUAAUUGAGUAUAACUGAGUGACUUCUCACGUAAGCAUCAAUAAUCAAUACCGUGUGCUACUAUGCAACCACGCGUAUUACUGUAC